This 65-nucleotide microRNA precursor is filed under the name Angiostrongylus costaricensis. RNAcentral's name for it is "mir-5885 microRNA precursor family". It matches the Rfam family "mir-5885 microRNA precursor family". The record is from Rfam by way of RNAcentral. Lineage: Eukaryota; Metazoa; Nematoda; Chromadorea; Rhabditida; Metastrongylidae.
CCGUAGGGUAUGCGUGGUGAUCUGGUAAGUGUCUCGCUUAUGAGAUCACGCGUAUAUUCUCCGCC